This 483-nucleotide ribosomal RNA is filed under the name uncultured bacterium. RNAcentral describes it as "partial 16S ribosomal RNA". It matches the Rfam family "Bacterial small subunit ribosomal RNA", at positions 28 to 507 of the family's 1533-position model. The record is from RNAcentral.
GACGAACGCUGGCGGCGUGCUUAACACAUGCCAGUCGAACGCUGAAGCUCAGCUUUUGUUGGGUGGAUGAGUGGCGAACGGGUGAGUAACACGUGAGUAACCUGCCCCCUUCUUUGGGAUAACGCCCGGAAACGGGUGCUAAUACUGGAUAUUCACUGGUCUUCGCAUGGGGGUUGGUGGAAAGGGUUUUUCUGGUGGGGGAUGGGCUCGCGGCCUAUCAGCUUGUUGGUGGGGUGAUGGCCUACCAAGGCUUUGACGGGUAGCCGGCCUGAGAGGGUGACCGGUCACAUUGGGACUGAGAUACGGCCCAGACUCCUACGGGGGGCAGCAGUGGGGAAUAUUGCACAAUGGGCGCAAGCCUGAUGCAGCGACGCCGCGUGAGGGAUGGAGGCCUUCGGGUUGUGAACCUCUUUCGCUCAUGGUCAAGCCGCAACAAUGGUUGUGGUGAGGGUAGUGGGUAAAGAAGCGCCGGCUAACUACGUG